Molecule: non-coding RNA, 29 nt
Filed under: Homo sapiens (human)
Lineage: Eukaryota; Metazoa; Chordata; Mammalia; Primates; Hominidae
Source: RNAcentral
UAGGAAGUGUCCCAGUCUGAUGUAACUGC